GGUCGAGUCGGCCUGCGCGGAAGAUGUAACGGGGCUAAACCAUGCACCGAAGCUGCGGCAGCGAACGUAUCACUUAAAGCGAUUCAGCGGGUUACGAUUGACGGAGCGAAGCGACGUCAAAGCGUAUACAAAGUCGAGUCGGUUUAAGGAUACGUUCGUUGGGUAGGGGAGCGUUCUGUAAGCCUGUGAAGGUGUGUCGUGAGGCAUGCUGGAGGUAUCAGAAGUGCGAAUGCUGACAUAAGUAACGAUAAAGCGGGUGAAAAGCCCGCUCGCCGGAAGACCAAGGGUUCCUGUCCAACGUUAAUCGGGGCAGGGUGAGUCGACCCCUAAGGCGAGGCCGAAAGGCGUAGUCGAUGGGAAACGGGUUAAUAUUCCCGUACUUGGUGUUACUGCGAAGGGGGGACGGAGAAGGCUAUGUUGGCCGGGCGACGGUUGUCCCGGUUUAAGCGUGUAGGUGUGUGUUCCAGGUAAAUCCGGUUCACUUUAACACUGAGGCGUGACGACGAGGCACUACGGUGCUGAAGCAACAAAUGCCCUGCUUCCAGGAAAAGCCUCUAAGCAUCAGGUAACAUCAAAUCGUACCCCAAACCGACACAGGUGGUCAGGUAGAGAAUACCAAGGCGCUUGAGAGAACUCGGGUGAAGGAACUAGGCAAAAUGGUGCCGUAACUUCGGGAGAAGGCACGCUGACACGUAGGUGAAGUGAUUUACUCAUGGAGCUGAAGUCAGUCGAAGAUACCAGCUGGCUGCAACUGUUUAUUAAAAACACAGCACUGUGCAAACACGAAAGUGGACGUAUACGGUGUGACGCCUGCCCGGUGCCGGAAGGUUAAUUGAUGGGGUCAGCGCAAGCGAAGCUCCUGAUCGAAGCCCCGGUAAACGGCGGCCGUAACUAUAACGGUCCUAAGGUAGCGAAAUUCCUUGUCGGGUAAGUUCCGACCUGCACGAAUGGCGUAAUGAUGGCCAGGCUGUCUCCACCCGAGACUCAGUGAAAUUGAACUCGCUGUGAAGAUGCAGUGUACCCGCGGCAAGACGGAAAGACCCCGUGAACCUUUACUAUAGCUUGACACUGAACAUUGAGCCUUGAUGUGUAG
RNAcentral lists this ribosomal RNA (1093 nucleotides) under Salmonella enterica. RNAcentral describes it as "partial 23S ribosomal RNA". It matches the Rfam family "Bacterial large subunit ribosomal RNA", at positions 1147 to 2141 of the family's 2925-position model. Lineage: Bacteria; Pseudomonadati; Pseudomonadota; Gammaproteobacteria; Enterobacterales; Enterobacteriaceae. The record is from RNAcentral. RNAcentral also lists the same sequence under 1 other name.